UUAAAGCCAUACCAUGUUAAAUUGGUAAAAUUUAAGUCAAUACAUUUUCUGUGUACCACAACUUUCCGAUUUACUUUUUUACAAUGUGGUGGUGGAAUUUUAAAAAACAUUAAGGCCAUAUUGUGGUUACCAGUCUCAUACGAAUUCUUCAAGAAACGUCUCCAAGAUUUCAUACAUCCUAAAAGCUUUUCAAACAUGAAUACUGAGGACUCGGUGGCUUUGUCUUCACUACCUUCGUACCAUUACGGUGCGCUUUACCCAUCAACAUCCAUCCACCAGCCACCACAAAACAAUGUCAACAAUCGAAUUCCACGAACUUUAUCUCAAUGGAGCUGUAGAAAUAUAUUUGCAAUGAAUGGCAAAAAGGCAGCAGCUAUGGUACGUUGAGUCGGUCAGGCGGGUAAACACGGUAGAGCGGUAAAGCGGACAGAGCCUCAGUUAUUGCUAAUGUUUGGCGAGAGGGUGGUGGCCACAGAGUCGGAAGAAAUACAAUGAUGACAUUUAACUCUGCUACCACCAGCACAACAAAAGGCCUGACUCAGACUAAAGAGAAUAGAGGAACGGGUGAAGCAGAAGCAGUAGAAGUGGCUACAGCUAAGCAAAUAAACAAAUAAAGAAAAUCUGACCCAACUUUCGGCUUUCAGCAAUUAGCAAAAAACAUUGCACAGCGGAGGAAAUAAUAAUGAGGAUGUUAAAUUCAUGUCAAUAAAACAACAAAAAUACGUUGAAGCAAUCACAA
Stomoxys calcitrans (stable fly) is the source of this 739-nucleotide long non-coding RNA. RefSeq lists it as uncharacterized. NCBI's taxonomy places the organism in Eukaryota, Metazoa, Arthropoda, Insecta, Diptera, Muscidae. The transcript has 2 exons. The record is from RefSeq and is a predicted model, not a curated record.